UUUCGAAUCAUUCACAAUGGGCGAAAGCCUGAUGGUGCGACGCCGCGUGAGGGAUGAAGGCCUUCGGGUUGUAAACCUCUGUCACCGGGGAAGAAACGCUUCAGGUUAAUAUCCUGAAGCCUGACUUAACCCGGAGAGGAAGCAGUGGCUAACUCUGUGCCAGCAGCCGCGGUAAUACAGAGACUGCAAGCGUUAUUCGGAUUCACUGGGCGUAAAGGGUGCGCAGGCGGCCAUAUGUGUGAGGCGUGAAAGCCCGGGGCUUAACCCCGGAAUUGCACCUCAAACUAUAUGGCUAGAGCAUUGGAGAGGGUAGCGGAAUUCACGGUGUAGCAGUGAAAUGCGUAGAUAUCGUGAGGAACACCAGAGGCGAAGGCGGCUACCUGGACAAUUGCUGACGCUCAGGCACGAAAGCGUGGGGAGCAAAAGG
Molecule: ribosomal RNA, 427 nt
Filed under: uncultured bacterium
Lineage: Bacteria
Description: bacterial SSU rRNA
Rfam family: Bacterial small subunit ribosomal RNA
Source: RNAcentral